GUUUCGCCCUGUUUACCAAAAACAUCGCUCCUUGAAAAGAUUUCUAAUAUAUAAGGAGUUCUGCCUGCCCAGUGACAAAGUUAAACGGCCGCGGUAUUUUGACCGUGCAAAGGUAGCAUAAUCAUUUGCCUUUUAAAUGGAGGCUGGUAUGAAUGGCAAGACGGAAAUUUAGCUGUCUCUCUCUUAGAGUUUUGAAAUUAAUAUUUUUGUGAAGAAGCAGAAAUAAGAUCGUAGGACGAGAAGACCCUAUCGAGCUUAAGUAAUAAAGUGUAGAUUUGUGAUGUGUUUACAGUAUUAAUUAUUUUUCUUUAGAGGAAAAAAGAUUUAUUAAGAAGGCAUAGAAUUAUUAUAUUUUUUAUUUAGAUUGGGGCAAUCGCGGAGAAGAAAUAACUUCCGUUUUGAAUAAAUUGAAAAGUGACGUCUUUAAAACAAAGUAAGUUGCAAUGAAAUGAUCCACUUAGAAAAGUGAAUAAAGGAAUAAGUUACCGUAGGGAUAACAGCGUAAUUUUUUUGGAGAGUUCAUAUUGAUAAAAAAGUUUGCGACCUCGAUGUUGGAUCGGGACAUCCAGGAGAUGCAGCAGUUUCCAAGGGUUGGUCUGUUCGACCAUUAAAGUCCUACGUGAUCUGAGUUCAGACCGGUGAAAGCCAGGUCAGUUCCUAUCUACG
Molecule: ribosomal RNA, 666 nt
Filed under: Porcellanaster ceruleus
Lineage: Eukaryota; Metazoa; Echinodermata; Asteroidea; Paxillosida; Porcellanasteridae
Description: partial 16S ribosomal RNA
Rfam family: Bacterial large subunit ribosomal RNA
Source: RNAcentral